This 897-nucleotide ribosomal RNA is filed under the name Triticum aestivum (bread wheat). RNAcentral describes it as "partial small subunit ribosomal RNA". The record is from RNAcentral. Lineage: Eukaryota; Viridiplantae; Streptophyta; Magnoliopsida; Poales; Poaceae.
AUGGAUGUGGUGAAGGCGGCGCAGCUGUCGGGGCGGACGCUGGAGAUGGUGGUGUACAAUCGCGUCGCCCGCGACACCAGGAAGCGCGUCGUCGGCGUGCUCCUCGGCACCUCCUCCCGCGGCAUCAUCGACGUCACCAACUCCUACACCGUGCCGUUUCAGGAGGAUGACAAGGACCCAAGGAUCUGGUUCCUCGACCAUAAUUACCAUGAGUCUAUGUUCUCCAUGUUCAAGAGGAUCAACGCCAAGGAGCAUGUCGUUGGCUGGUACAGCACUGGUCCAAAACUGAAGGAGAACGACUUGGAUGUUCAUGCAUUGUUUACCAACAAUAUGACGAUCACCGCCCACAACUCUUUGUGUUCUACUCGUGCAUAUCAUCUACGCAUAGACCUGGCUCGGAUGCCAAUGGGAACAUGGGGUCUCGCUAAAAGUCUUGCUCAAAUGAUCUACUUCAGGAUCUCAUCUUCUGUGCCUUGGUUCUGUCAGACGAGCGAUGUGUCCAAAACAUUAAAUUCACGGUUUCCACCGGACGUCCGACUUCUCCUCAUCAGUACAAAAACAUCGGAUGGCCGCAUAAUUCAGGUAAUGUUAGUCCGGCGGAUGUUGCCGUGCAAACGUCGGCCUCUCUGGAUGUGGGAGUUUAAUCCGGAGGGUCCGCAGACUAUUAAGAACUUCUUCGACCUGACGCUCGAAGGUAUGUGCAAGUUACUCUUCGGAUCACAUAUUUCAUCCGCCACCAGCGGUUUGAAUGAGGCAUUUACAAGCCUGCUCAAAGGCUUUGAGGAGUCACAGGGUAUGUGCUUGGUUUUCCUUAUUAUUAUGUAUAGGAAAAUGCAAAAGGGGCAUAAUAUUAAUGCCAUGCGGCAAACCCAGGAGCCGGGCAAACCCAACAUUUGA